Long non-coding RNA from Leopardus geoffroyi (Geoffroy's cat), 647 nucleotides. RefSeq lists it as uncharacterized. NCBI's taxonomy places the organism in Eukaryota, Metazoa, Chordata, Mammalia, Carnivora, Felidae. The record is from RefSeq and is a predicted model, not a curated record. The transcript has 3 exons.
GCAGGAUCUGCGCUGCUUGGCCAGAGAACUCAGUGGAAGUUCUAUUCAAAGACUCACUGGUUCGAUGCCUGGGUUUAACAAUCAGAUCUUAGGAGAUUAAUGCUUUUAAGAGGUUCAUAAACUGAGAGAGAUCUUAAGAAAUUGGAUGAAGAGGACAUGACUGCAUCAGAAAAAGAAAAGUAGUGUAAAAGAGAAAAAAAAAAGAAAGAAAAUUGAAUAGAUGGACCUGCUAACAGAAUGAGGUAGGACUGACAUUACUUCGUUUUCCCCUAGAAGUCAGUAUAUGUAGCGUUUCAUAGUCCAUAGACUAAGCCAGCAGUGAGACUUGUGUUAUUGAAGAGUGAGGUUGGCCCACUUGAGCGGGGCUCAGUGUAAUAGCUCCGCUCUCCACUAGAUGGCGCUGCUAUCCUACUGGGGUGGAUGGUUGUGGGGUUCCUAGGUGUGUAUGCGCAUGCGCCAGAGCGGUAAAAAUGGUGCCACCCCUUACCCAAUGUGUUCUCCCGGAUCAACAAUUGCGCCCCUGUCCUCUGUCUUCAGCUUUCAUGCACUCCCUGCUUUUUCACUCUCUGUGACCAGGCCCCAGGCCUCUCUUCCACGUUUUGACUCAGAUGUGGUUGUUUCUGAAGGACUGCGGCUUUGACCUCUUC